GUCUAUGGCCAUGCCACCCUGAACAAGCCCGAUGUCUGAUCUUGGAAGCUAAGCAGGGUCGGGCCUGGUUAGUACUUGGAUGGGAGACCACCUAGGAAGACCAGGUGCUGUAGGCA
Molecule: ribosomal RNA, 116 nt
Filed under: Pteropus alecto (black flying fox)
Lineage: Eukaryota; Metazoa; Chordata; Mammalia; Chiroptera; Pteropodidae
Also listed under: 1 other name
Source: RNAcentral